Molecule: ribosomal RNA, 460 nt
Filed under: uncultured bacterium
Lineage: Bacteria
Description: partial 16S ribosomal RNA
Rfam family: Bacterial small subunit ribosomal RNA
Source: RNAcentral
CCUACGGGGGGCUGCAGUGAGGAAUAUUGGUCAAUGGACGAGAGUCUGAACCAGCCAAGUAGCGUGAAGGAUGACUGCCCUAUGGGUUGUAAACUUCUUUAGGCGGGGAGCAAUGCCGGGCACGCGUGCCCGGAGGGAGAGUACCCGCAGAAUAAGCAUCGGCUAACUCCGUGCCAGCAGCCGCGGUAAUCCGGAGGAUGCGAGCGUUAUCGGGAUUUAGUGGGUUUAAAGGGUGCGUAGGCGGAUUUUUAAGUCAGCGGUAAAAUGUCCGGGCUCAACCCGGGCCGGCCGUUGAAACUGGGGAUCUUGAGUGGGCGAGAAGUAUGCGGAAUGCGUGGUGUAGCGGUGAAAUGCAUAGAGAUCACGCAGAACUCCGAUUGCGAAGGCAGCAUACCGGCGCCCGACUGACGCUGAGGCACGAAAGCGUGGGGAUCGAACAGGAUUAGAUACCCGAGUAGUC